AUUGAACGCUGGCGGCAGGCCUAACACAUGCAAGUCGAACGAGUGGCGGACGGGUGAGUAAUGGCUGGGAAACUGCCUGAUGGAGGGGGAAAACUACUGGAAACGGUAGCUAAUACCGCAUAACCUCAGAUCUGCCCAGAUGGGAUUAGCUAGUUGGUGGGGAAACGGCUAACCAAGGGGACGCUGCCCAGCUGGUCUGAGAGGAUGACCAGCCACACUGGAACUGAGACACGGUCCAGACUCCUACGGGAGGCAGCAGUGGGGAAUAUUGCACAAUGGGCGCAAGCCGGAUGCAGCCAUGCCGCGUGUAUGAAGAAGGCCUUCGGGUUGGAAAGUACUUUCAGCGGGGAGGCGUUACCAGCAGAAGAAGCACCGGCUAACUCCGUGCCAGCAGCCGCGGUAAUUC
RNAcentral lists this ribosomal RNA (406 nucleotides) under uncultured bacterium. RNAcentral describes it as "partial 16S ribosomal RNA". It matches the Rfam family "Bacterial small subunit ribosomal RNA", at positions 29 to 526 of the family's 1533-position model. The record is from RNAcentral.